GGAAACACCCUGUGGAGACUCUGGGACUUGCCAGGAAAAGCUACUCUCCGGGAAUCUAUUCUGCUCUAACUUCCUCUCCUGAGUCCAAUGGCUGGAAGCCUUCAUUCCUGACUUCCUUGCUCGCUCACUGUCUUUCUUCUCUUUUCAUAAUUUCCUCCUCCACCUCAAGAGGCUCCAGCCCUGAAGCCAUGCACGACUGUAGCUCCUAUCUUUGGGGUUUGGUCCAAUACCCCAUUUUUCAAAGGCAUGGGAGUCCGGCUCUUUUCAGAGUUGGUCUGGAUCACAGAGCUGUGAUGAGAAAAGUGCAUCAUGGGUGCGGAACUUCAGGGGGGAAGGAUAAUGAGUUUGUUGUGACGUGGUUAUUUUCUUAGAUCGUACAACCAACGUGGUAAUGCUGGCAUAAUAAUUCCCGGUUGCCAUUUUCUGACAUUUGAAAAGAUCUGAAGAUACGCCCCUUGGAUGCCUGCAGAGAAGCUCUGGGGCUUCAGUCAAUGACUCAGGGUAGCCACCGAACAUGAUGCUCGGGCAGUGGGUGCCACCUGGACUCCACUCUCCCCUCUCUCUGGGAUCAUAGAGUCCAAGGUGUUCUGUGGCCUCUCGGCCAAUCCCAGCAGCUCAGCGUGCAGAAGACCGAGGAGCCAUUGGAAUUCAACACAACACGAAAUAAUCAACAAAUUCGGGGAAUGUUAAUCUGACCAUCACCAGUUACAAAUGAUGUUUCAUGCUACCUUCUAUUCCUGCCUUCAUAAAUCAAGGAAAAGAAAAAGAGAACAUAUAUCCCCCUACCUUUUGAUUUCCAACAGUCUACUGAGAGGCCAAGAUUAUUUGCAGGGAAAGAAAAGGGGUCAAAAUGUUUUGCCAGUAACUCCCAAAUCAUCUACAGCCAAGGAGAAAAGUGUUUCAAGACAGAGGUGCUCAAUGGUAUCAAAUACUGCCAACAGACCAAGUAAUACAUGCAUUGAAGUGUCUACUGGAUCUAGCUAUAUGAAUUUUUAAUUUAGGACACUUAGGCCAUACUGAAGCAAGGUGACAAAAUGAAUAGCUACAAUGUCUCGUGAAUCUUGGGUUUCCAUUCACCCUGGUAUUCAAGAGAAAUUCUUGCAUCAUGGAAGUUGCAGUUGGAUAGGACUUUCUCAGCUGAACACUGUCAUCUGCCAGAGCUUCAGGCAAGAACCCAGAACAGAUGAAACCCCAGACAUGACAAAAUAAGCCAAAGAAUACCAGGCCAAGGUGUGAAAGGCCAGAUGAGAACAAGCAGCGUACACGAUUCUGUUGCCAACAGAUCUCCCCUAACAGUGUCGUGCACCAAAUUUCCACAGUGAAUGUCAGGAAAAAAUGGCAAUUGAGGUGGGUGGUCAAAAGAGAAGCACAGUCUAUGAUGAAGUCACCCCAGAGAAGUCCUUUUUCCGUUUUCUCCUGAGAAAUUACCAGAAGAAA
Molecule: long non-coding RNA, 1437 nt
Filed under: Homo sapiens (human)
Lineage: Eukaryota; Metazoa; Chordata; Mammalia; Primates; Hominidae
Description: non-protein coding LINC00710:1
Source: RNAcentral